GUUUCCGUAGUGUAGUGGUUAUCACGUUUGUCUAACACGAAAAAGGUCCCCAGUUUGAAACUGGGUGGAAACA
This is a non-coding RNA of Mus caroli (Ryukyu mouse), 73 nucleotides long. Lineage: Eukaryota; Metazoa; Chordata; Mammalia; Rodentia; Muridae. The record is from the annotation of a RefSeq genome assembly.